UAUUUCAUUAAUAACAAGUAACGCAUUACCACAAUAAUAAUAAAAACAUGCUAUGUGACGUCAGAAGUGUCAAAUUCCUGAGAUUCCUGCAGGACAGAAGAAACUUGUCUGGACGAAGAAGGUUUGAAGAAGCCGAGGGAGAAGGUCUCCUUCAUCACCACAGGAUUUAUUGGCGUUUCACAGGCUACAAGCAUGUGUAGUGUUUCCACGUCUGAUGAACAAGGAUGGCGACCAAGGGCGGCGUCAGGCCGGAUGAAGUUCUGAUGAAGAUGCAGGAGCUUGACGACCGGCUGAAAGAGCAGAGUGACAAACUGGAGCAUGUUCGCCUUGCUGUAGUUGAACUGAAGGAUGACUUGUCUGUGAGCAACGGUGAUCUUACCCAGUCUAUCGCUGAACACCUGGAGUGGUUGAAUCACAUGUCAGAGCGAGUGGAGACUCUUGAUGUGAACACAUCUGUUUUUAUCCAGGUGAGAAUCAAAAAGUUUCUGAUGGGAUCAUGAAAAUGUGCAUGCAAAAGUUGUAUUUAAGUAUGUUAUGCCAUAAUUAUAAAAAUGGGUCUUAAACCGCCUGAGCUCCACAGGCCCUCCAGACAGUACGACGGGUC
This 604-nucleotide long non-coding RNA is filed under the name Cottoperca gobio. RNAcentral's name for it is "lncRNA (ENSCGOG00000020774.1)". The record is from RNAcentral. Lineage: Eukaryota; Metazoa; Chordata; Actinopteri; Perciformes; Bovichtidae.